This 465-nucleotide ribosomal RNA is filed under the name Vreelandella stevensii. Its description in RNAcentral is "partial 16S ribosomal RNA". It matches the Rfam family "Bacterial small subunit ribosomal RNA", at positions 338 to 795 of the family's 1533-position model. Lineage: Bacteria; Pseudomonadati; Pseudomonadota; Gammaproteobacteria; Oceanospirillales; Halomonadaceae. The record is from RNAcentral.
CCUACGGGAGGCUGCAGUGGGGAAUAUUGGACAAUGGGGGCAACCCUGAUCCAGCCAUGCCGCGUGUGUGAAGAAGGCCCUCGGGUUGUAAAGCACUUUCAGUGAGGAAGAACGCCUGGUGGUUAAUACCCAUCAGGAAAGACAUCACUCACAGAAGAAGCACCGGCUAACUCCGUGCCAGCAGCCGCGGUAAUACGGAGGGUGCGAGCGUUAAUCGGAAUUACUGGGCGUAAAGCGCGCGUAGGUGGCUUGAUAAGCCGGUUGUGAAAGCCCCGGGCUCAACCUGGGAACGGCAUCCGGAACUGUCAAGCUAGAGUGCAGGAGAGGAAGGUAGAAUUCCCGGUGUAGCGGUGAAAUGCGUAGAGAUCGGGAGGAACACCAGUGGCGAAGGCGGCCUUCUGGACUGACACUGACACUGAGGUGCGAAAGCGUGGGUAGCAAACAGGAUUAGAUACCCGUGUAGUC